Molecule: unclassified non-coding RNA, 244 nt
Filed under: Hevea brasiliensis (rubber tree)
Lineage: Eukaryota; Viridiplantae; Streptophyta; Magnoliopsida; Malpighiales; Euphorbiaceae
Source: RNAcentral
AAGCACUGGUGGUAGUAACUGUGGAGAACAAAGGUGCCACAGAAUUUGAAAACGAUAGAAAAGUAGGCUUCGAAGCUGUAGUGCUCGGAGUAGAAGGUCCUCCCGUCGAUGCUGCAUUGCUAAUACUAAACCCGAAAGAAGAUUGAGAUGCCGACGAAGCAGGUGUUCCAAAUGAGAAGCUCGAGGAACUAGUAGAGGCUGAUGUAAGAGAAGAAGAAGAAGAUGCAGUGGUAAUACUAGUAGU